Molecule: long non-coding RNA, 605 nt
Filed under: Homo sapiens (human)
Lineage: Eukaryota; Metazoa; Chordata; Mammalia; Primates; Hominidae
Description: HSALNT0223489
Source: RNAcentral
AAGAUUGUCCCCUUUGGAACCCUGUGAUGUUCACACAAUGAUGAAAUCACCUAAUGACAUGUUUCUCAGAAUAUACCCCAGUCAUUGAGCAACACAUGACUGUAAAUGGUUGAAUAGAUCAAUAAAUGGAGAAUAGACAAAUCUCCAGUGCAGAAUUCUAAAUAAAUUAUGUAGUUACUUUGCCCUCAGAGAGAUGAAGCCCUUUCUUAAAUGCGAGCUGUAAGUUACUUCCUUCCAAAGAGUAAAGUACAAAAUAUGGGGGAGAGAAGGGUAACUUUACAGUGGAGAAGACUGGCAAACUACCUCAGCCAGGUGACCAAGGUCAACAUCAACAAUGACCAGUCAUGUUGAUGGUAUGUAUCCUUGAUAUCAUGAAAAUGGCACUGUACCUGUGAUCCUCCUCUCCUACCCCAUAAUCCCAGUCUAAUGAGAAAAACAUUAGACAAAUACAAAUUGAUGAAUAUUCUACAAAAAUACCUGACCAACACUCCUCAAAAGUGUCAAGGUAAUCAAAACCGAGGAAACUCAGAGACUUUCAAGGCCAAGAGGAGUCGAAGGAAACAGGACAAUUAAAUGUAGUAUGGUAUCCUGAAUAAGAUCUUGGG